RNAcentral lists this long non-coding RNA (1663 nucleotides) under Homo sapiens (human). RNAcentral's name for it is "HSALNT0370802". Lineage: Eukaryota; Metazoa; Chordata; Mammalia; Primates; Hominidae. The record is from RNAcentral.
CGAGUUCUCGGGAACAGCGGCUCGGCCUGCAAGGCUGUUGUUUCAAGAAAUGAAAAUGAAGGGCGCCCUGGAAUAGGUUCGCCGAAGAGAGAGCAACAUGGCCUGUCGCGGUGGCUCAUGCCUGUAUUCCCAGCACUUUGGGAGGCCAAAGCAGGAAGAUCGCUUGAGCCCAGGAGUUUGAGACCAUCCUGGACAAGCUUGCAGGCCUCUGGGAAGCAAGCCAUCGUGUGGCAGAGGCCCAGGUGGCAAGGAACCAAGGGCGGCUUCUGGCCAACAGCCAGCGAGGACCUGAGACCGUAGCCCAACACCCCUCCAGGAACUGAAUUUUGCCAGCAACCAGUGAGUGACCUUGGAAGUGGAUCCUUCCCCCGAAAGCCCGGCUUUCAGCUCAGAGAAUGGAAAAAUAUCUCUUCCUAAAGACACAGAGAAACAUAAACAAACCUGACCAAUAGAAGGACCAAAACCUCUGCACAGUGCCUCACCCCUCGGAGGAAUUAACAAAAAUACGGAGGCUGGUGGGACCUCAACCCCAGCUGGUAUCCAGGCUCUUGACACCAUCUGGAGAAGGAAUUCAAGAGUGUGUCAGAAAAUGAUGAAAGUACAAAGAUUUAUUGCAAAGCGAAAAAUACACACUCAAGAAAGGGGAGUAUGGGUGGACUCAAGACAGAGUCCGAUGGGACUUGGGGUUUCUACCUUUUGGGUUUCUUUUUUUUUUUUUUUUGAUAUGGAGUCUCGCACUGUUGCCCAGGCUGGAGCGCAGUGGCGUGAUUUUGGCUCACUGCAACCUCUGCCUCCCGGGUUAAAACGAUUCUCCUGCCUCAGCGUCCCAAGUAGCUGGGAUUACAGGCUCCCACCACCAUGCCCGGCUAAUUUUUGUAUUUUUAGUAGAGACGAGGCCUCACCAUAUUGGCCAGGCUGUUCUCGAACUCCGGACCUUAGGUGAUCUGCCUGCCUCAGCCUCCCAAAGUGCUGGGAUUACAGGCGUGAGCCACCAUGCCCAAUGGGUGUGGGAUUUAGUAUAUUAAUGAGUGUAUAAUGAGGUCCUUGGUGAAACCUACAUCAAAUCCAGCACCGUGUUGGGUCCAGUCUGUCUUAGCCAGCUUGGUCCACACCCUGGUUUUUUAGGGUCUUAUUGGCCCCUUACUUCUGCAGCAAAAGUUUCCUUUUGCUAGUCAUGUGAAACUGCCACCUGGAAUUUUCUAUUCUCUAGUGACCACCCUGUAUUAUUCCUGUCUCACUGGGACCCUAAGAAAUUGGGAAUUCCAACUACACAUCCAAAAUAGUUUGACUAAAACUGUUGAAAAAAGAAAAAAAUAAUGGCAUAAAGUAUUGCUUGACUAAAUUCCAGCCAGGUGCAUUGGCCACUUUAGGUCGGGUGUGGUGGCUCAUGCUUGUAAUCCCAGCAUUUUGGGAGGCUGAGGCGGGAGGAUCACUUGAGGUCAGGAGUUCCAAACCAGUCUGGCCAAAAUGGUAAAACCCCCUCUCUACUAAAAAUACAAAAAUUAGCCGGACCUGGUGGCGGAAGCCUGUAAUCCCAGCUACUCUGGAGGCUGAGGCACGAAAAUUGCUUGAACCCAGGAGGUGGAGGUUGCAUUGAACCAAGAUCAUACCACUGCACUCUAGCCUGUGUGACAGAGAAAGAUUCCGUCUCAAGAAACAAAAA